Long non-coding RNA from Equus caballus (horse), 3592 nucleotides. Lineage: Eukaryota; Metazoa; Chordata; Mammalia; Perissodactyla; Equidae. The record is from Ensembl.
AUUCAUUCAACAAAUAUUUACUCAACACCCACCUCAUUGUGCAGCCUCAGUUCAGGGGCUGGGCAUCCCGCAGUGACCAAGACAGACCUGGUCUGGCCCUCUCAGAGCUCACCCUCUGCUGACGACGGCAGGCACCGAGAGCAUCAUGACCCCAUCGUUCAGCAUGUUGCAGUCCUGACGGGCACUAAGGAGAGGUUGAGUCCAGGGGGAUUCAGGGAAGGCUGAAUCACGGGAAGGAGGGAGGCAGGAAGGAGGGACGCGCUCAGGCAGAGGGAGCGUCUGUGUGGGGAAGCCUGCCUGGCUGGAGGGAGUGAGGGGUGGCCAUGGCGGGCCUGACACUAAAUGCAGCUGGUCAUCAGGGCUGCGCAGACCACGGGGAGGACUUUGAACUUCGCCCUGAGAGCAGUUUGAAGCCACUGGAGGAGUUUAGACGGGGGAAUGACACGAUUCCACUUAUGUUUUGAAAACAGUCCUCUGGCUGUGGGGUCAAGGGCAUGAGCAGCAGCAGAAAGCAGCUUGGAGUUUGUGAUGGGGACAUGUUUCCACAGUGGGCUUCCUCCUGGACCACGCUGGUUUACUAACGGCCCUUCCGAAGCUUGUCAAGAGGCCUGGUCUUCACAGCUACUGGCUGCAGCCCUACCCUAGACACUAGGUUCUGUUAAUGCAGCCCAGGGCUGCCCUUGCAUUUAUAGGCCUGCAGGCUGCUGCUAAGCAUGGGAUCAGCCAAGCCCCCUGGAUCUGUGUGAGGGGUGCUUUGAACCCAAGAGCCUACAAGGGAAGCUGGGGCCGUGUCUGCUGCCUCUGAGGAAGGAAGUCUGGCUUUGAACAUCUUUGGGAAGCUGGACGCCUGCCUCAUGGGCCAUGCCUGGAGCAACACUGCCCCCUCAUGGCCUGCUCUUCAGGCAGCCAUUUUGUACCUUGCUCUUCCUGGAGCCUCUUCACUCUCAGCUGAUGACCUCACUUCCUGUCCCUCCGAGAAAAUAGAAGCCACCAGGAGAGAAUGUCCAUAACCACCCACUACCACAGCCACACACCUGCCUGCAUCAGUGCCCGAGUCCUCUGCCUCUUUCCUGGAGCCAAGGCAGCCCCUCUACUCUGCACAACCAGAUCUUUUUAAAAAAUUAUUUUUGAGAUAUAAUUCACAAAGCAUAAAAUUCAUUUUUAAAGUGUAAAAUUCCUAUUUUAGCAUUUAGAAUUCAUAAUUCAAAUUUUAGCAUUUUCACAGAGUUGUACAACCAUCACCACUAUCUAAUUCUAGAACAUUUUCAUCACCCCAAAGUGAAGCCGCAUGCCCGGCCACCCCCAUGCUCCUUCCCCCAGCCCCCGGCAGCCACUCAUCUCCUUUCUCUAUGGAGAGGUUUAUUCUCUAUGGAUUCAACUCUUUUGGACAUUUCAUAUAAAUGGAAUCAUACACUACGUGGCCUUUGGCUUCUUUCACUCAUCAUGUUGUUGCCGAGGUUCAUCCAUGUUGUAACAUGUAUCAGUGCUUCCCUGCUUUUUAUAACUGAAUACUAGUCCAUUGCAUGCACAGACUACAUUUGGUUUAUCCACUCAUUAGCGGAUGGACAUUUGGGUUUUCACUUUUUGCCUAUGAUGAACAAUGUUGCUGUGAACAUUUGCGUACACAUGUUUGUGUGCCUGUAUGUCUUUAUUUCUCUUGGGUGUAUACCCAGGGGUGGAAUUGCUUGGCAUUUGGUAACUCUAUAUUUAACUUUCGGAGGAACUGCCAAACUGUUUUGCAAAGUGGCUGCACCAUUUGACAUUCGCACCAGUAACGUACAAGAGCUUUAAUUUCUCCACAUCCUCGUCGAUGCUUAUGCCUGUCUUUUUGAUCCUACCCACCUGGGUGGGUGUGAGGUGGUGUCUUCCUGGGACGAACGACCAGAUCUCAUCCCUUCUCGCCUGCUGGAGGACAGCGUUCCCCUGAUUCUCCCUCCCCUCUUCUUCAACGGGGUUUCCCUGUAUCCAGUCACCCCAGCAGCAUGCAAGCAGGUUCUUAUUUUUUCCCACCUUAAAAAACCCCAAAGCUCUCUUGACUUCAGUCUCCGUCCAGCCGCCUUGCCAUCUCUCUCCUCCCUUUUACAACAAAACUCCGUGGAAGGAUUGCCCUGACUUGUCUCCAGGUUCUCUCCUUUCAUUGUCUCUUGUGCUUACUCCCAUCAGGCUUUUGUCCCCACCCUGUCACCAGAACUCUUCUUCAAGGUCACCGGUGACCUCUGCAUUGUUGAAUCCAAUAGCCUUUCUCAGCCCUGUCUUAAGGAUCCACAGCUUUUGACACGGUUGCUCAUUCCUUCCUCUUUCUUGACUUGGGUUCCUGGUUCCCCCUCCUUCGCUCCCACCUCCCCCUCACUUUCCUGCUUUUCCUCAGCAUCUUCCUGACCUCAGAAAGUUAAGGGGUUAGGGACUCCAUCCUUGGUCCCUUCAGUUUUCCUUCUGCCCUCUUGGAUCUCAUCCAGUCUCACGACUUUAAGUGUUGCCCAAGUGCUGAUGCUCCCAGAUUGUAGCUCCAGGCAGGACAUCUCCCCUGAGCUUCAGACUCAUUUAUCCCACCACCCUUGGGACAUCUAAUAGGCAGCUCUGACCCAACAAGUCCCAAAUGAAGCUCCCUGUUCCUCCCUUUGAACUCGUCAAUUCCACCUGUCAGUAAGAGCAACACCAUUCUUUCUGCAAUUUAGAACAAAAUCUUGGAGUCAAAGAUGACGCCUCUCUUUCUCCCACACUCCAGCAAAUCCUGCCUCUUCUCCUCACCCACCGCCUCAGCUACCCCGGGGCCAAACCACUGCCAUCUCCUGUUUGGACAGUGGUUGCAGCCAUGGUCCCUGUUUCCACCCUUGACUUACACAGUCUAUUUUAAACGCAGUGCCCAGAGAGAUCUUGUUAAAAGGCAAGCUGGGCUACGCCAUUCCUUAGCUCAGAACCCUGCGAUGAAGCCUGUUGUCAUGGGGUCAAAGCCCUUGCAAUGGCCUCUGAGCUCCUACAGAAUCUGGUCUCCCCUCUUACACUCUUGCACCCCUCCGCUUAAUCCUCACUGGCCCUUUUCUGUUCCUCAGACACAGCAGGCAUGACUCUACCUAUGCACCUGCUGUUCCCUCUGUCUGGAAUAUUCUGGGCCAGAAAUCUACCUGACACUCUCCUUGUGUCCUUCCAGACUUUACUCAAUUGUCACUGCUUCAGUGAGGUCGUGUUGGACCGCUCUACCUAAAACCCAAACCUCUCAGAGGCUCCCUGUCUGCUUACUGGUUUAUUUUCCUCCUUGUGCUUACCCUCAACGUUCUGUCUAUUGUGUGUGUUGUCCUGGUUUAUUAUUUGUUUCCUCACUAGAAUGUGAAGCAGAGUGAGGGCAGGCUUUUAGUCUGUUUUGUUCGCUACUGUAUACUCAGCUCCUAAAAUACUGACUGUCGUGCAGUAGGUGCUGAAUAAAUAUUUGUGGAACGAAUGAAUGGAUGUCAAUAGUCUGGAAGUUCUUCCCGAUGCUGAAGAACAGCCUCCACCUGCUAUGCCAUGUACAGCCAGCAGGUGGCACUGUGACCACAGAAAUCGCAGGCCCCUGGCUCCCCAGCAGCUUUUCUCAGAAAUCUGCCUCCAUAGAUGC